RNAcentral lists this ribosomal RNA (492 nucleotides) under uncultured bacterium. Its description in RNAcentral is "partial 16S ribosomal RNA". It matches the Rfam family "Bacterial small subunit ribosomal RNA", at positions 29 to 507 of the family's 1533-position model. The record is from RNAcentral.
AGUGAACGCUGGCGGUAGGCCUAACACAUGCAAGUCGAACGGCAGCACAGUAAGAGCUUGCUCUUACGGGUGGCGAGUGGCGGACGGGUGAGGAAUACAUCGGAAUCUACUUUUUCGUGGGGGAUAACGUAGGGAAACUUACGCUAAUACCGCAUACGACCUACGGGUGAAAGCAGGGGAUCUUCGGACCUUGCGCGAUUGAAUGAGCCGAUGUCGGAUUAGCUAGUUGGCGGGGUAAAGGCCCACCAAGGCGACGAUCCGUAGCUGGUCUGAGAGGAUGAUCAGCCGCACUGGAACUGAGACACGGUCCAGACUCCUACGGGAGGCAGCAGUGGGGAAUAUUGGACAAUGGGCGCAAGCCUGAUCCAGCCAUACCGCGUGGGUGAAGAAGGCCUUCGGGUUGUAAAGCCCUUUUGUUGGGAAAGAAAAGCAGCAGGUUAAUACCCCGCUGUUCCGACGGUACCCAAAGAAUAAGCACCGGCUAACUUCGUG